CAUAGCUUUGUAUGCCUUCUGUCUGUCCUUUCUCAAUAGCAAGCUGAAGACAGAGGGUUGGUAGAAUGCACACUUACCAAGCAAGAGGCAGAAGGAAGACUCGAGGUGCUUGUGGGACUGCGUGCAGUUUUCAUCCGGAGGAUGGUGGCUUUGGGGAGAAGAGCUUUAGACAAUCUAAGCAAAGCAGGGGCAUGGAGAAGUCUGACGGAGGAAGAGCGCUGGCCUUGGGUUUGACCUUCCGAUCCCUCAGAAACAUAAGGACGGAGCAGCAGAGGGGUGCGGCUCUCAAGCUGGAAGCGUGCACCUUCCCCUCAGCCCGCGGUUCCGCAGCACAGUCGGGAGGGUAGCUCUCCCACGUGCUGCUCCCACAGCCAAGAAAGCAGGACUUGGAGAGUCCUGUGACCCAGCCAGCCUCUGGGUCAAGAGCUGGAUAAAGAAGUGGAGGCGGAGAGAAACGGGGACCCUGCCCUGUGCCACCGAGGCCACAGUGAGUCACUUCACCACUGCAUGCAUGCUGGGUGCUACCUAUCCACAGAACACCACAGACGUGCGAGAUGAACAGAAAUGAGACAGAGGCAGAAUAAGGUUGGGAGAAUAAGGAACUGAAGCAAUGCUCCCGACGGCCAUGUUAACAACUGUGGGAGGUGGAGAGCUGACUGCGUGAGUAAGGCUGGUCGCCUGAGUGCUCAUAUCUCUGUUCCCCAGCAGCAGGGUGAACCCAGUGAUUUUAGGUGAUUCUCCAAGGGGCUGAAGCGUUCUGAGCUCGUGGAGUAUGCUCUCCAGAAGGAACUGGGGGGAGCAUUUUACAAAGAGAUGGAGGGGCUGGAGGGACGGCUCAGUGUUUAAGAGCACUGGCUGCUCUUCCAGAGGACCUGGGGAGACUCUCAGCACUACAUGGUAUCUCACAGCCAUCUUUAACUCCAGUUCUAGGGAGAUUCGGCACCUUUUUUCUGGUCUCCUAGGGCAGCAGGCAUGCACAUGGUGCACAGACCUACAUGUAAGCAAAAUACCCAUAUGUGUAAAAAUGAUAUUAAAUCUUUAGAAGAAGUGAA
Long non-coding RNA from Alexandromys fortis (reed vole), 1052 nucleotides. RefSeq lists it as uncharacterized. The record is from RefSeq and is a predicted model, not a curated record. The transcript is spliced from 4 exons. Lineage: Eukaryota; Metazoa; Chordata; Mammalia; Rodentia; Cricetidae.